This 253-nucleotide ribosomal RNA is filed under the name uncultured bacterium. RNAcentral's name for it is "partial 16S ribosomal RNA". It matches the Rfam family "Bacterial small subunit ribosomal RNA", at positions 524 to 776 of the family's 1533-position model. The record is from RNAcentral.
UACGUAGGGCGCAAGCGUUAUCCGGAAUUAUUGGGCGUAAAGAGCUCGUAGGCGGUUUGUCGCGUCUGCCGUGAAAGUCCGGGGCUCAACUCCGGAUCUGCGGUGGGUACGGGCAGACUAGAGUGAUGUAGGGGAGACUGGAAUUCCUGGUGUAGCGGUGAAAUGCGCAGAUAUCAGGAGGAACACCGAGUGCGAAGGCAGGUCUCUGGCGGAUUGACUGACGCUGAGGAGCGAAGACUGGGGAGCGAACAGG